UCUCCGUUGGUGAACCAGCGGAGGGAUCAUUACUGGAAUCGCAAGAUCCCACAACCCUGUGAACCUACCCAACCGUUGCCUCGGCGGGCGCCUGGCCUUGCGCGGGGCGCGACGCCCGCCGGUGGCCCCCUACUCUGUCUAUGCAGCGUGGAAUCUCCGGGGAUAUACAAGACAAGUCAAAACUUUUAACAACGGAUCUCUUGGCUCUA
This 209-nucleotide unclassified non-coding RNA is filed under the name plant metagenome. Its description in RNAcentral is "partial contains small subunit ribosomal RNA, internal transcribed spacer 1, and 5.8S ribosomal RNA". The record is from RNAcentral.